GACGAACGCUGGCGGCGUGCUUAACACAUGCAAGUCGAACGGAAAGGCCCUGCUUUUGUGGGGUGCUCGAGUGGCGAACGGGUGAGUAACAUGUGAGUAACCUGCCCUUGACUUUGGGAUAACUUCAGGAAACUGGGGCUAAUACCGGAUAGGAGCUCCUGCUGCAUGGUGGGGGUUGGAAAGUUUCGGCGGUUGGGGAUGGACUCGCGGCUUAUCAGCUUGUUGGUGGGGUAGUGGCUUACCAAGGCUUUGACGGGUAGCCGGCCUGAGAGGGUGACCGGCCACAUUGGGACUGAGAUACGGCCCAGACUCCUACGGGAGGCAGCAGUGGGGAAUAUUGCACAAUGGGCGGAAGCCUGAUGCAGCAACGCCGCGUGCGGGAUGACGGCCUUCGGGUUGUAAACCGCUUUCGCCUGUGACGAAGCGUGAGUGACGGUAAUGGGUAAAGAAGCACCGGCUAACUACGUG
RNAcentral lists this ribosomal RNA (468 nucleotides) under uncultured bacterium. RNAcentral's name for it is "partial 16S ribosomal RNA". It matches the Rfam family "Bacterial small subunit ribosomal RNA", at positions 28 to 507 of the family's 1533-position model. The record is from RNAcentral.